GCGAAAGUGGCGGAACUGGUAGACGCGCUGGGUUCAGGACCCAGUGGAGGCAACUCUGUGGGGGUUCGACUCCCCCCUUUCGCACCA
RNAcentral lists this transfer RNA (87 nucleotides) under bacterium. RNAcentral describes it as "tRNA-Leu". It matches the Rfam family "tRNA". From Rfam's summary of the family: Transfer RNA (tRNA) molecules are approximately 80 nucleotides in length. Their secondary structure includes four short double-helical elements and three loops (D, anti-codon, and T loops). Further hydrogen bonds mediate the characteristic L-shaped molecular structure. tRNAs have two regions of fundamental functional importance: the anti-codon, which is responsible for specific mRNA codon recognition, and the 3' end, to which the tRNAs corresponding amino acid is attached (by aminoacyl-tRNA synthetases). tRNAs cope with the degeneracy of the genetic code in two manners: having more than one tRNA (with a specific anti-codon) for a particular amino acid; and 'wobble' base-pairing, i.e. permitting non-standard base-pairing at the 3rd anti-codon position. The record is from RNAcentral. RNAcentral also lists the same sequence under 1 other name.